This 240-nucleotide ribosomal RNA is filed under the name uncultured bacterium. RNAcentral's name for it is "partial 16S ribosomal RNA". It matches the Rfam family "Bacterial small subunit ribosomal RNA", at positions 96 to 334 of the family's 1533-position model. The record is from RNAcentral.
UGGCGAACGGGUGAGUAACGCGUGAGGAACCUGCCUCAAAGAGGGGGACAACAGUUGGAAACGACUGCUAAUACCGCAUAAGCCCACGGGUUGGCAUCGACCUGAGGGAAAAGGAGCAAUCCGCUUUGAGAUGGCCUCGCGUCCGAUUAGCUAGUUGGUGAGGUAACGGCCCACCAAGGCGACGAUCGGUAGCCGGACUGAGAGGUUGAACGGCCACAUUGGGACUGAGACGCGGCCCAG